This 915-nucleotide ribosomal RNA is filed under the name Bacillus sp. JAM-FM2202. RNAcentral's name for it is "bacterial SSU rRNA". It matches the Rfam family "Bacterial small subunit ribosomal RNA", at positions 28 to 926 of the family's 1533-position model. Lineage: Bacteria; Bacillati; Bacillota; Bacilli; Caryophanales; Bacillaceae. The record is from RNAcentral.
GAUGAACGCUGGCGGCGUGCCUAAUACAUGCAAGUCGAGCGAAUGAUGAGGAGCUUGCUCCUCUGAUUUAGCGGCGGACGGGUGAGUAACACGUGGGUAAUCUGCCUGUAAGACGGGGAUAACUCCGGGAAACCGGGGCUAAUACCGGAUAAUAAGAGAAGAAGCAUUUCUUCUUUUUGAAAGUCGGCCUCUCGCUGACACUUACAGAUGAGCCCGCGGCGCAUUAGCUAGUUGGUGAGGUAACGGCUCACCAAGGCGACGAUGCGUAGCCGACCUGAGAGGGUGAUCGGCCACACUGGGACUGAGACACGGCCCAGACUCCUACGGGAGGCAGCAGUAGGGAAUCUUCGGCAAUGGGCGAAAGCCUGACCGAGCAACGCCGCGUGAGCGAUGAAGGCCUUCGGGUCGUAAAGCUCUGUUGUUAGAGAAGAACAAGUACGAGAGUAACUGCUCGUACCUUGACGGUACCUAACCAGAAAGCCACGGCUAACUACGUGCCAGCAGCCGCGGUAAUACGUAGGUGGCAAGCGUUAUCCGGAAUUAUUGGGCGUAAAGCGCGCGCAGGCGGUCUCUUAAGUCUGAUGUGAAAGCCCACGGCUCAACCGUGGAGGGUCAUUGGAAACUGGGAGACUUGAGUGCAGGAGAGAAAAGUGGAAUUCCACGUGUAGCGGUGAAAUGCGUAGAGAUGUGGAGGAACACCAGUGGCGAAGGCGGCUUUUUGGCCUGUAACUGACGCUGAGGCGCGAAAGCGUGGGGAGCAAACAGGAUUAGAUACCCUGGUAGUCCACGCCGUAAACGAUGAGUGCUAGGUGUUGGGGGGUUCCACCCUCAGUGCUGAAGUUAACACAUUAAGCACUCCGCCUGGGGAGUACGACCGCAAGGUUGAAACUCAAAGGAAUUGACGGGGGCCCGCAC